AGAAGCAGCGCAAUUGAAAAUAACGGUGUGAACGGGUAUGGAACUCCGGGUGCACGAAAGUUCAUUCGCUUGAGGUUAAAGCGGUGGUAUAGUAUGUUUCAGGUGUGAUAAAACUGGACAGAAAAGAACAGUCUGUGUAAUGUAGCGCAAGUAAAGGGUAGAGUCUGUAUGAGGUUCAAUGGAUGAGGCAAUUUAUGAAGUAAUGCUGGAUAUUUUAAAUUAAUUCCAACUUAAGAGGACGUUCAAAUCGUUGUGUACUGUAUGUGACUGUACAUUGGAUUUUGUGAAUGCUAGCAACACAUAAAAGGACAUAACAGUGACAUUAUCUGUUGAAUGUGAGAUCACAAUGGUGGGCCUGGUGUCAUAUGUGAAGGGUUCUUCAGUUUCCCACCUUCUUCUUGCCAUCACUUUUUUUGUGUCUGGUUUGAUCAUCAAUCUGACGCAAGCCUUGUUGUACUAUGGACUUCGACCGUUCAGCAAAUACUUAUACAGGAAAAUCAACUACUAUGUCUGUUAUUCGCUCUAUUGCCAAUUGGUGUUCAUGGCAGAAUGGUGGGCAUCCACAGACCUGGUACUCUACAUAGAUAAAGAGGAUCUUGAACGAUACUAUGGCAAAGAGCAUGGGUUCCUUAUAAUGAAUCAUCGGUAUGAAGUAGAUUGGCUCAUGGGAUGGGUUCUCUGUGACCGAGUAAAUAUACUUGGAAACUGCAAAACAUUUGCUAAGAAGUCAAUUCGAUAUGUGCCAACAAUGGGCUGGGCUUGGUUGUUUGCAGAGAGUAUUUUCCUAGAGAGAAACUGGGAAAAGGACAAGGAAACAAUAGGGAGGCAAAUAAAAGAACUUGUGGAGCAUCCUGAUCCCAUAUGGCUGCUGUUGAUGGCUGAAGGCACAAGAUUUACGACAGAAAAGCAUGAAGCAAGUAAAAAGUUUGCAGAAGAAAAAGGUUUGCCAGUAUUAAAGCACCACCUUACACCUCGAACUAAGGGCUUUACCACCAGUUUGCCCUACCUUCACGGGAAAUUUGGUGGUAUAUACGACGUUCAACUUUCAUUUAAAGAGGGUGAAAGACCAACCAUGACAGACCUUCUACUAGGUAAGAGGGUCCAGGCACAUCUUUAUAUUGGGCGCAUUCCUUUGGACCAGGUUCCAGUGGAAGAAGAGACAUCUGCGCAGUGGCUAUACCAGCUGUAUCAGAAGAAGGAUCGAAUGUCAGACAGUUUUUUCUGCACGGGAGACUUCUUUGCAGAAAGUGGUGUGAUGAAGAUUGAAGGAUACCGUCUUCCCCGGCGUUAUUUUAGUUUAAUCAACACAGUAGCUUGGGGGUUUGUGGUAUUAGUGCCCAUGGUGUAUUACCUGCUACGAUUGCUCACCUCAGGGUCCACUAUAUACUUCUCUGUAGGAAUUGGAAUCAUAGGCAUCUUUUUCUGGCUGUUAUCAAAAAUGAUUGGUAUGACAAAAAUCAGUAAAGCAUCAUCAUAUGGGAAAACUACCACAACUCCAACAGAAACAAAGGACUCCCCAAGUGCCACUAAGAAGACUGAAUAAAUUCCAAACAAUAUAUAAUAUGGAAGAACUAUGCUACCGUCAACACAACAAUAUUUCAGUUACUACAUAAAUUCCCUUACAGAUCCCUUAAUUUAUGCCCCACAAAUUUGUAUUUGAGAGAUAGGGUCUUGAAAUUCUGCAGCACACCCUUUAUUCACUGCAGCAAACAGAAAAACUGAAGCUGUUAACGGUCUCUUAGAACAUACUAGACUGACUGCAUGAUAAGACAUGGCAGCAAGAGGAUUACUGAAGAUUAUGACCUGGAAUGUGACGCCAUGUUAUUUGGUAGACAGGAACUAGUUUACCAAACUGUAUGGCUUCACAUCCACCAAGAGAACAUCAAAUCUGACAAAAGGAGGACUAUUACAUACGAGCAGUGGUAAUGUAACAGAAGGACCAUUAUUAUUUGAGCAAAGUUCACAACUUCUUCGAUGAAAUGCUUUUGUUACUGUCAUAAAAUUACAGACCAGAAGAAGACAGAAACAAACUUUGUACAGGUGAUGCAACUAGAAGUAAAAGCCCAUAAGACAAUAUGCUUUGUUCUUAAUUCUGGCUGUGCCACAGAAUUGGAAACAGAGAAAUAUUUGGAGAGCAUGGGGAUUCUGAAUUAAAUGUGGGGGGAAGAAUAUGGGAUACUCUACAAACUUAUCAAUUGACUUGUUUCAGAGGGAGGUUUUUGAUUAAGCUUAAUGGAAAUUGUUAACAUAGAUUCAAGGAAAAGAUAUAUUUUUUGUCCAGCUGUAAACUGAUUACUUCGCAUAUUGUUAAAUGAUUUUCAAUCAUAUGCUAUCAAGUGAUAAGAUUAGGAGGAUACUGGGAGGUGAAUUCAUCCUGCAAAUGAAAACCUAGGCUUCAGAAAUUAUGAAUGGUAUCUUUGUUAUAGAUUACGCACAAUGUAAUGGAAUGUGUACUUUGACAGUUUACUUAAGUAUAUUGAUAUAAAGCUACAGUGGAACUUCUCUCAAAGAACACAGAUUGUAUUUGUGUGGCAUGGAUUGUGUUUUAGGCCAUACUAAAGUAAUGCUACACCUUAUUCAGAGACCACUCUUAUUCCCGACGAGUGACCAUGCCUGGUCAUUAUUAAACCCCCUUUAAAAGGACACCACAGGCACACUAGACAGCAUGAAGACAACAUAUGAUUUGUUAAGAAAUGAUUUAACACCUUUAUUUAACAAGUUUCAGGAUAAAGUUAAGAACAAAGUUGUAAAAAGAAAAGUAAAACUGUAAUCUAAAUUACAGUAGAUUCAUUUUUAAAGCCAGCAUACCACUGGUAUAUGGGGCACGUGGUAGUGUAGUUGGUUGAGGCACUAUGCUACAAGCCGGAAGGUUGCGGGUUCAAGUCC
This is an RNA transcript of Cryptotermes secundus, 2886 nucleotides long. It is a transcript of the gene named 1-acyl-sn-glycerol-3-phosphate acyltransferase gamma, with no coding region annotated. The record is from RefSeq and is a predicted model, not a curated record. The transcript has 9 exons. Lineage: Eukaryota; Metazoa; Arthropoda; Insecta; Blattodea; Kalotermitidae.